CGAGUGAAUUAAUCUGUUGUUGAACCUGUUGUCUAGGGAUAGCUUUACUGCACUUGUU
RNAcentral lists this small RNA (58 nucleotides) under Arabidopsis thaliana (thale cress). Its description in RNAcentral is "ATSL266420". Lineage: Eukaryota; Viridiplantae; Streptophyta; Magnoliopsida; Brassicales; Brassicaceae. The record is from RNAcentral.